RNAcentral lists this transfer RNA (77 nucleotides) under Anaerobacillus sp. HL2. RNAcentral describes it as "tRNA-Val". It matches the Rfam family "tRNA". From Rfam's summary of the family: Transfer RNA (tRNA) molecules are approximately 80 nucleotides in length. Their secondary structure includes four short double-helical elements and three loops (D, anti-codon, and T loops). The record is from RNAcentral. Lineage: Bacteria; Bacillati; Bacillota; Bacilli; Caryophanales; Bacillaceae.
GGAGGGGAUUAGCUCAGUACAGGAGAGCACCUGCCUUACAAGCAGGGGGUCGGCGGUUCAGCCGUCAUCCUCCACCA